CGUUUUGUAUUCUCCCAGGAUUCUGGUCAAAAUAUACUGUCAGAUAUGAUUAGAAACCAUGUAUCUUAAAGUAAUGGACAACGUGUUGAGUACUUUCUACUCCUAAUGGAAACUUCCCUUUUUUCUCAUUUUCUCUUUGAUAGGUUGUUAUGACAGCCAUACUGGCAGCAGUGAUAGGCAUCGCAUCCCAGGUCCUGAGAAAUGAUUGUAAUGAAGUCCAGAUAAGAGCCGGCCUCUUUUACCUGCUCACAAUCUUCCAGUGAAUCACAAGUUUGGCUUCAGGGGAGCUCUUUGUGAUUGACAGGGAUCACUUUCUAUAUGAGCACACCAGUGGAUACUACAGAGUGUCAUCCUAUUUCUUUGGGAAAUUGCUGGCUGAGCUAAUACCCAGAAGACUGUUGUCAAAUAUGAUAUUUACUCUUAUAACAUACUUCAU
Molecule: non-coding RNA, 436 nt
Organism: Rattus norvegicus (Norway rat)
Lineage: Eukaryota; Metazoa; Chordata; Mammalia; Rodentia; Muridae
Source: RefSeq, a predicted model, not a curated record